RNAcentral lists this ribosomal RNA (305 nucleotides) under uncultured bacterium. Its description in RNAcentral is "bacterial SSU rRNA". It matches the Rfam family "Bacterial small subunit ribosomal RNA", at positions 337 to 659 of the family's 1533-position model. The record is from RNAcentral.
GCCUACGGGGGGCAGCAGUGGGGAAUAUUGCACAAUGGGGGAAACCCUGAUGCAGCGACGCCGCGUGAGUGAAGAAGUAUCUCGGUAUGUAAAGCUCUAUCAGCAGGAAAGAUAAUGACGGUACCUGACUAAGAAGCCCCGGCUAACUACGUGCCAGCAGCCGCGGUAAUACGUAGGGGGCAAGCGUUAUCCGGAUUUACUGGGUGUAAAGGGAGCGUAGACGGCGAUGCAAGUCUGAAGUGAAAGGCGGGGGCCCAACCCCCGGACUGCUUUGGAAACUGUAUGGCUGGAGUGCAGGAGGGGUG